CAAUUAUGUUUCCUGUUUCAAAAUCCAAGAAAAAUCUUUCUCACAGUGUUCUCUCUCCUUAUCUCCUCACGUACACUACGCAGAUUUUUCUAGUCUUCGUUCUCAUCCACGCACGGGAGGAAAAUCUUCUCUGCGCUUCUAUCCACCACCGCUCAAUCGUUUGAUUUUUUUUUUCGCGCAAGCUUCUUACCUCCUGCGCGCAGAUUGCUUCUUCCUGCUGCACGGCAUGCCGGAGAAAGAUAUGUCUCUCAGAUUUUUUCUUCUCUACCGAUUGCUUUGCUCCUGGCGUGAUUUUUUUUCUCUGCGAUUGAUCUCAUCCCUGCACGGCUCUAGUGGAAAAAUCCCGCCGCCCCUGGGCGCUUCAAAAAUCCAGCCGACGCUCGCCCCUAUCUUCUUCCUCAGCCCAGCCGUCUUCCUGGGCAACCGCGUCUCCUUCUUCCUCCCCCUGCGUCCCUGUUCGGUUCCUGCGCACGCUGACUCCCUGCGUCGCGAGCUUCAGCUCGGAUUCCCCCUCCCAUGGCUGCCGAGCAGCUCGCCGGAAUUCCACGCUCGGUGCCUGGAUCUCCCUCCUCCCUGCAGCUCGCUCUCUCUCCCUAGCUCGCUCGCUCCUGGCCUUCCCCUGCCGGCGCGCCUGUUCCCUGGCCGAAGCCACCUGGUCCCAGGUCCGGUCGGCCGGCUCAGUUUUUCCCAGUGCCGCGCGUCGUGCUUCCCCUUCCAGCCGACCGAAGCUCCAGCUCCAGCCAGGCGCGUCCGGCUCCCUAGGCGCUUGACCAUCUGCUCGCCUGCUUUCCUGCCAGUGCUGCCCAGUGCCUCUCUGCUAGCCGCGCGCCCCUGUCUUAUUUCCCUGCGCACCGUCGUGUCCUCAGCUAGCCGGCUGCGACCCCUGCUCGGAUUUUCCCCUAUGGCCGGAACCUUUUUCCUGGCCGCAGCUCAGAUCUCCGGGGCCGCGAGCUCCCCUAAGCUCGCCAUGGCGAUUUCCACGGCUGGCAGCUGACCUUCCUGUGUCGCGUCCUGACUUUACCCAAUGCCCGGUCGAGCUCUCUGACCGCCGCGCCGUGAAUUUUCCUGCGCGCGUGUCUCCUUGCUCACGCGUCGCCGUCGAGUUCUCU
This 1109-nucleotide unclassified non-coding RNA is filed under the name Zea mays. RNAcentral describes it as "misc RNA Zm00001eb346600". The record is from RNAcentral. Lineage: Eukaryota; Viridiplantae; Streptophyta; Magnoliopsida; Poales; Poaceae.